GGCUUUUUGGCUUAGUGGUUAGCGCGCUCGCCUUGCACCUCUAGGGCUGUGGGUUUGAAUCCCACCUCCGCCC
Molecule: non-coding RNA, 73 nt
Organism: Pangasius djambal
Lineage: Eukaryota; Metazoa; Chordata; Actinopteri; Siluriformes; Pangasiidae
Source: the annotation of a GenBank genome assembly